This 622-nucleotide ribosomal RNA is filed under the name uncultured bacterium. RNAcentral describes it as "bacterial SSU rRNA". It matches the Rfam family "Bacterial small subunit ribosomal RNA", at positions 202 to 842 of the family's 1533-position model. The record is from RNAcentral.
GAAAGGAAAUAUUCGGUAAAAGAUGGGCCCGCAUCUGAUUAGCUAGUUGGUGAGAUAAUAGCCCACCAAGGCAACGAUCAGUAGCCGACCUGAGAGGGUGACCGGCCACAUUGGGACUGAGACACGGCCCAAACUCCUACGGGAGGCAGCAGUGGGGAAUAUUGCACAAUGGGCGAAAGCCUGAUGCAGCAACGCCGCGUGAAGGAAGACGGUUUUCGGAUUGUAAACUUCUAUCAAUAGGGAAGAAAGAAAUGACGGUACCUAAAUAAGAAGCCCCGGCUAACUACGUGCCAGCAGCCGCGGUAAUACGUAGGGGGCAAGCGUUAUCCGGAAUUACUGGGUGUAAAGGGAGAGUAGGCGGCAAGGUAAGCGAUAUGUGAAAGCCUUAAGCUUAACUUAAGGAUGGCAUAACGAACUAUCUAGCUAGAGUACAGGAGAGGAAAGCGGAAUUCCUAGUGUAGCGGUGAAAUGCGUAGAUAUUAGGAAGAACACCAGUGGCGAAGGCGGCUUUCUGGACUGAAACUGACGCUGAGGCUCGAAAGCGUGGGGAGCGAACAGGAUUAGAUACCCUGGUAGUCCACGCUGUAAACGAUGAGUGCUAGGUGUCGGGGAGGAAUUCCCG